RNAcentral lists this ribosomal RNA (500 nucleotides) under uncultured bacterium. RNAcentral describes it as "partial 16S ribosomal RNA". It matches the Rfam family "Bacterial small subunit ribosomal RNA", at positions 28 to 507 of the family's 1533-position model. The record is from RNAcentral.
GACGAACGCUGGCGGCGUGCCUAAUACAUGCAAGUCGUGCGGACCUUGUUGAAAGCUUGCUUUUAAAAGGUUAGCGGCGGACGGGUGAGUAACACGUGGGCAACCUGCCUGUAAGACUGGGAUAACGCCGGGAAACCGGGGCUAAUACCAGAUCGUUUUUUCCUCCGCAUGGAGGAAAAAGGAAAGGCGGCUUCGGCUGCCACUUACAGAUGGGCCCGCGGCGCAUUAGCUAGUUGGCGGGGUAAUGGCCCACCAAGGCGACGAGGCGUAGCCGACCUGAGAGGGGAAUCGGCCACAAUGGGACGAGGACACGGCCCAAACUCCUACGGGAGGCAGCAGUAGGGAAUCUUCCGCAAUGGACGAAAGUCUGACGGAGCAACGCCGCGUGAGUGAAGAAGGCCUUCGGGUCGUAAAACUCUGUUGCCGGGGAAGAACAAGUGCCGUUCGAACAGGGCGGCGCCUUGACGGUACCCGGCCAGAAAGCCACGGCUAACUACGUG